UGGGAAGUAUUGCGCAAUGGGCGAAAGCCUGACGCAGCGACGCCGCGUGAGGGAUGAAGGUUUUCGGAUCGUAAACCUCUGUCAGAAGGGGAAGAAGUUAUGCCGUCCUAAUCAGCGGCAUAUUGACGGUACCUUCAAAGGAAGCACCGGCUAACUCCGUGCCAGCAGCCGCGGUAAUACGGAGGGUGCGAGCGUUAAUCGGAAUUACUGGGCGUAAAGCGCACGUAGGCUGUAUGUCAAGUCAAGGGUGAAAUCCCACGGCUCAACCGUGGAACUGCCUUUGAAACUGGCAAAUCUGGAGUAUGUGAGAGGAUGGCGGAAUUCCUGGUGUAGGAGUGAAAUCCGUAGAUAUCAGGAGGAACAUCAGUGGCGAAGGCGGCCAUCUGGCACAUAACUGACGCUGAGGUGCGAAAGCGUGGGGUAGCAAACAGGAUUAGAUACC
RNAcentral lists this ribosomal RNA (442 nucleotides) under uncultured bacterium. Its description in RNAcentral is "bacterial SSU rRNA". It matches the Rfam family "Bacterial small subunit ribosomal RNA", at positions 355 to 786 of the family's 1533-position model. The record is from RNAcentral.